Molecule: long non-coding RNA, 1709 nt
Organism: Dreissena polymorpha
Lineage: Eukaryota; Metazoa; Mollusca; Bivalvia; Myida; Dreissenidae
Exons: 4
Source: RefSeq, a predicted model, not a curated record
UACCAUGAGUUACUUAACUCGGCCGCUAUCGCGUGUAUAUCUUUGUUUAUUGUUUUUCUAAAACUAUGGCUACGACUAUAGUUAUAACAUACAUAAAAGGCGUCUCGGUUGUAUUCUGACGGCAUUCGUGCGGUCCAAACAUAGAAACAUGAAGGCGGUACUACUGAUAGUAGGCGUUCCUCUCUUGAUGUGUUUCCUCGACGUGGUACAGGGAACAACCACGACCCCAAGUUCUGGAUCUGGUUCUAUUACUAGUGGCAGUGCAUCUGGAACGGGAUCCGGAAGUGUUAAUGUCCCCGUGGCAACUACUGCUGGCGGAAACAGCGGCUCACAGAGGAUUUCGUUCACACCGUUUUCCGUCUUUAUCAUGGCCAUUGUUUUCAUUGCAAAUAUUGCUUUGGCUUAAGUGGGCGGCUUUCCAGUCGAGCAUAUGUCUGACGACCAUUGAUGGUUUGGAAAAACUUAAACAAACGUGAUCUGUUUUUCUUAACGUAAUUUCUGUUUUAAGUUUUCGGGUAGUGUAUGUACAAUAAUAGUGUGUGAUAUGCAUAGGCCUUGUUAAUGAAUUGUUUACCGUGCGAUAUAUAAACAUGGCAUGCUAUGAAGAAAGCAUAUGUUUUUUGAAUGCCAGAGUUAUUAUAACGCGUACUGUGCUUGCUUCCAUGUAUCUGCUUGCUUCCAUGUAUCUGCUUGUUUCUCAAACAAAAAUUAAAGAAUAUCCACUAAAAAAAUCUGUUUAAUUAUUUUGUAAUUUUAAUACACCCAAUCUGUAUACUUGUGAUGACUCGACACAUUAUUCACAGCCCAUUCAGUAUUGUAUUUUAUUGUUUUCAUUGCCUCACACUUUUUGAGGUAUCAGACUCUGACCAAUCGAAGGCAAAAUAUCUCAAGUAAAAAUCAAUAAGCGCAUGACACUUUUAAAUUGAGCUAUUUAGUUAAGUGUUGUUUUCCUAUGAUCGAAGCUUACAAGAGAGUUCAAGGUAGAAUUAACACAAUGACUCGUUUUGGCCUCUCCCUAGUUCUAGUUUCCUCCGGCACCACUCGUAUUCCGUCCGCCUUUCUGUUCAUCGAAGGUUUCAGAUCUGAAUAGAAUGCCCAGAGUAGCUUUGGGUAAAAAUCGUAGUACAUUGUUUUUAGCGAGGCAGUCAAUCUGCUACACAUACACACUGUGUUAAUCUAUGUAAUAAAAAGGCGUAUGAUGAUAAGCUUACCCUACCCAAGAGUUUAUAUUAAAGCACGUACAUUUCAUUGAGGAAACCCAAUUCUGCACGCUGUCCCUUCGUGAUAAUUUGUUAUGUUUUGGGUCAUGUUAGUUAAACCAUAUUUAAUGUUUCCAUCAUUCCUUUAUAUUAUGUUUAUGGGACUUGCUUUUUAUAGCUAAGGGAGAUAACUAGCUAAGCAGUUAUAUUGACUAAACAGCGAAUGGCGUCCCUUUAUUGCAAUUCAUGAAAUAUCAUGAACUGGCGAUGUACAUAAAUUAUGGUCCAUUUAUCAAUCACAUAUACUUCUUGUAAUUUAAGUUUAGAAAAUAUAUAUAUGAACAUGCAAUUCAUUUUAUCGUUGCAAUAAUGUUUAAUUCUAUAAACUUAAUCAUACCACUUCAGAACCAGUUAAACUAGUCGAACAUAUUAAUUAUUAAUGCUAUUCUAUACAAUGUCCGAACAAAUGCGGAAAACCCAGUUUAAAUGUUAAUUAAUAGUGUAAAAAUU